This 82-nucleotide transfer RNA is filed under the name Bacillota bacterium. RNAcentral describes it as "Firmicutes bacterium (anaerobic digester metagenome) tRNA-Leu". It matches the Rfam family "tRNA". Rfam says of the family: Transfer RNA (tRNA) molecules are approximately 80 nucleotides in length. Their secondary structure includes four short double-helical elements and three loops (D, anti-codon, and T loops). Lineage: Bacteria; Bacillati; Bacillota. The record is from RNAcentral.
GCGAGAGUGGCGGAACGGCAGACGCGCCAGAUUUAGGAUCUGGUGGGCAACCGUAGGGGUUCAAGUCCCCUCUCUCGCACCA